UUAACACAUGCAAGUCGAACGGGAUAAUAAAGCUUGCUUGGUGGUGAGAGUGGCGAACGGGUGAGUAAUGAGUGACCGAGAUGCCGCAUGCUCCGGAAUAGCUCCUGGAAACGGGUGGUAAUGCCGGAUGUUCCACAUGAUCGCAUGUGAUUGUGGGAAAGAUUCUAUCGGCGUGGGAUGGGGUCGCGUCCUAUCAGCUUGUUGGUGAGGUAACGGCUCACCAAGGCUUCGACGGGUAGCCGGCCUGAGAGGGCGACCGGCCACAUUGGGACUGAGAUACGGCCCAGACUCCUACGGGAGGCAGCAGUGGGGAAUAUUGCACAAUGGGCGCAAGCCUGAUGCAGCGACGCCGCGUGAGGGAUGGAGGCCUUCGGGUUGUAAACCUCUUUUGUUUGGGAGCAAGCCUUCGGGUGAGUGUACCUUUCGAAUAAGCGCCGGCUAACUACGUGCCAGCAGCCGCGGUAAUACGUAGGGCGCAACGUUAUCCGGAUUUAUUGGGCGUAAAGGGCUCGUAGGCGGCUCGUCGCGUCCGGUGUGAAAGUCCAUCGCUUAACGGUGGAUCUGCGCCGGGUACGGGCGGGCUGGAGUGCGGUAGGGGAGACUGGAAUUCCCGGUGUAACGGUGGAAUGUGUAGAUAUCGGGAAGAACACCGAUGGCGAAGGCAGGUCUCUGGGCCGUCACUGACGCUGAGGAGCGAAAGCGUGGGGAGCGAACAGGAUUAGAUACCCUGGUAGUCCACGCCGUAAACGGUGGACGCUGGAUGUGGGGCACGUUCCACGUGUUCCGUGUCGGAGCUAACGCGUUAAGCGUCCCGCCUGGGGAGUACGGCCGCAAGGCUAAAACUCAAAGAAAUUGACGGGGGCCCGCACAAGCGGCGGAGCAUGCGGAUUAAUUCGAUGCAACGCGAAGAACCUUACCUGGGCUUGACAUGUUCCCGACGACGCCAGAGAUGGCGUUUCCCUUCGGGGCGGGUUCACAGGUGGUGCAUGGUCGUCGUCAGCUCGUGUCGUGAGAUGUUGGGUUAAGUCCCGCAACGAGCGCAACCCUCGCCCCGUGUUGCCAGCACGUUAUGGUGGGAACUCACGGGGGACCGCCGGGGUUAACUCGGAGGAAGGUGGGGAUGACGUCAGAUCAUCAUGCCCCUUACGUCCAGGGCUUCACGCAUGCUACAAUGGCCGGUACAGCGGGAUGCGACAUGGCGACAUGGAGCGGAUCCCUGAAAACCGGUCUCAGUUCGGAUCGGAGCCUGCAACCCGGCUCCGUGAAGGCGGAGUCGCUAGUAAUCGCGGAUCAGCAACGCCGCGGUGAAUGCGUUCCCGGGCCUUGUACACACCGCCCGUCAAGUCAUGAAAGUGGGCAGCACCCGAAGCCGGUGGCCUAACCCCUUGUGGGAUGGAGCCGUCUAAGGUGAGGCUCGUGAUUGGGACUAAGUCGUAACAAGGUAGCCGUACCGGAAGGUGCGGCUG
This 1466-nucleotide ribosomal RNA is filed under the name Bifidobacterium bifidum. Its description in RNAcentral is "bacterial SSU rRNA". It matches the Rfam family "Bacterial small subunit ribosomal RNA". Lineage: Bacteria; Bacillati; Actinomycetota; Actinomycetes; Bifidobacteriales; Bifidobacteriaceae. The record is from RNAcentral.